AGAAGCAGGCAGGCCUCCUUGAGCUGUGGUGGGCUCCACCCACUUCGAGCUUCCUGGCUGCUUUGUUUACCUAAUCAAGCCUGGGCAAUGGCGGGUGCCCCUCCUCCAGCCUCGCUGCCGCCUUGCAGUUUGAUCUCAGACUGCUGUGCUAGCAAUCAGCGAGACUCCGUGGGCGUAGGACCCUCUGAGCCAGGUGUGGGAUAUAAUCUCGUGGUGCGCCGUUUUUUAAGCCCGUCGGAAAAGCACAGUAUUCGGGUGGGAGUGACCCGAUUUUCCAGUUUCAAACAUCUUCAAGGCAGAAACGUGUUGUAUUUGCAUGCUGUUUAGAAGGCAGUGUACUGAAUAGUACCAGUUUUUUCAGAGACAAAUAUGGUGUACUUAUUUGAAAAGAAAGGAUGAUACACAUACAUAGCCAUCCAAAAAAUCCUGCAACCAGUAGCAAAUUAUAUUACACAUUGGACACAUCCUAAAUGAUGCAAGGUAAUAACAAAAAUUUACCUGUUUUCAAUCAUGUUCUUCCCCUGGUUAAAUGCUAUUUGAAAUAUUUUUAAUUCUUUGUAUCUUUUUUGCAACAUGUAACUAAUGAAAAAAUGUUGUUUAUUAGACAAUUUCAGCCUCAGAACAUGCAAAACCACGACACACUGGUAUGGUCAAACCAGGCUCUUCACUCUCCAUUCAACUUGACAUUUGCAUUUCUUCUCCUUCAGCCUCUAUAAUUAUAUUGUUGUUUAUUUAACAUACCUUUUUUCUAAUCUCUACUCACAGUGACAUCCUAAAAUGUCACUUGAAAGUCUAUGUUGACAGAAGAAUUCCUCUCUUUAAAUUCUGGGAAGCUAUUUUUUGGGAACCUAUUAUGUCUCAAAUGCUAUGUACAAUUAGAGUUGCUUCAGUUCCAGAAUAUUCAGUUUUGCCAUGCAAUUCAUUGAUUAAUUGCAGAAUUAGCUAUAUCCUUUUGUGUGUUAUUUGGUUUACAGAUUCAAACUCUGUAUAUAGUAAACUUCUUAUGGGAAGAAAUCAUUUCUCAAACUAAUAUGAGUGUAAUAGUUAAAAAAGAAACAAUUUAUACAUUUUUAAUUUAAUAAACAUUUAUUUAUCAUUAAUCUUGAACAG
Molecule: long non-coding RNA, 1110 nt
Organism: Homo sapiens (human)
Lineage: Eukaryota; Metazoa; Chordata; Mammalia; Primates; Hominidae
Gene: NIHCOLE
Product: ncRNA involved in NHEJ oncogenic ligation efficiency
Source: Ensembl